AUCGUAAUAUAUAUACUUCUUUGUCGAUUGUCUUGCUCAAGGCUAUAAAUGAAUGGAUCAUAUUUCCAACCACAUUUGCUAAAUCGUAAUAUAUAUACUUCUUUGUCGAUUGUCUUGCUCAAGGCUAUAAAUGAAUGGAUCAUAUUUCCAACCACAUUUGCUAAGUCGUAAUAUAUAUACUUCUCUGUCGAUUGUCUUGCUGAAGGCUAUAAACGGAUGGAUCAUAUUUCCAACCAUAUUUGUUAAGUUGUAAUAUCUAUAUGCUUUGAUGCAUGCAUUUUAUAUCAUCAUUUAGGAGUAAUUUUUGCACAUAAUUUACCCUUAUUCAUAGCUAUUAUUUUAGAUAUUAGUAUAUAUUUAGUCAAUUUUACAAUUUUCACAUUUCUUAGUUUAAUUUUUGGAAUUUAUUUGUUUUGUAGGUUAAAUCUGGAGAAAUUUGAUGUAUUUUGAUCAGAGUAGCCAUUUGGAGGAGAUUAAAGUCGAAUUGCAAAAAUUUUGAAGUUGAGUUAAAAAAAGGCCGAGAGCGACACAACCGAUUUAGCUUAUGUCGCAGGUUGUGUCGAUCGUCAGAUAUUCACGCCGAGAGCGACACAACCCGCAACACAACCCGCGACACAACUGACU
RNAcentral lists this unclassified non-coding RNA (624 nucleotides) under Hevea brasiliensis (rubber tree). The record is from RNAcentral. Lineage: Eukaryota; Viridiplantae; Streptophyta; Magnoliopsida; Malpighiales; Euphorbiaceae.